This 753-nucleotide ribosomal RNA is filed under the name bacterium enrichment culture clone SC-2_33. Its description in RNAcentral is "bacterial SSU rRNA". It matches the Rfam family "Bacterial small subunit ribosomal RNA", at positions 1 to 755 of the family's 1533-position model. The record is from RNAcentral.
UAGAGUUUGAUCCUGGCUCAGAUUGAACGCUGGCGGCAUGCCUUACACAUGCAAGUCGGACGGCAGCGCGGGCUUCGGCCUGGCGGCGAGUGGCGAACGGGUGAGUAAUACAUCGGAACGUGUCCUGGAGUGGGGGAUAGCCCGGCGAAAGCCGGAUUAAUACCGCAUACGCUCUGCGGAGGAAAGCGGGGGACCUUCGGGCCUCGCGCUCAAGGGGCGGCCGAUGGCAGAUUAGCUAGUUGGUGGGGUAAAGGCCUACCAAGGCGACGAUCUGUAGCUGGUCUGAGAGGACGACCAGCCACACUGGGACUGAGACACGGCCCAGGCUCCUACGGGAGGCAGCAGUGGGGAAUUUUGGACAAUGGGGGCAACCCUGAUCCAGCAAUGCCGCGUGUGUGAAGAAGGCCUUCGGGUUGUAAAGCACUUUUGUCCGGAAAGAAAGCGUCCUGGCUAAUACCCGGGGCGGAUGACGGUACCGGAAGAAUAAGCACCGGCUAACUACGUGCCAGCAGCCGCGGUAAUACGUAGGGUGCGAGCGUUAAUCGGAAUUACUGGGCGUAAAGCGUGCGCAGGCGGUUCGCUAAGACCGAUGUGAAAUCCCCGGGCUUAACCUGGGAACUGCAUUGGUGACUGGCGGGCUAGAGUAUGGCAGAGGGAGGUAGAAUUCCACGUGUAGCAGUGAAAUGCGUAGAGAUGUGGAGGAAUACCGAUGGCGAAGGCAGCCUCCUGGGCCAAUACUGACGCUCAUGCACG